AGAAGAGCUUCCGCGACGGCAACGUCCGGGGGCUUUUUUCUUUUGC
RNAcentral lists this antisense RNA (46 nucleotides) under Rhizobium metallidurans. RNAcentral describes it as "ctRNA". It matches the Rfam family "ctRNA". Rfam says of the family: This family represents a group of ctRNAs (or counter-transcribed RNAs) from p42d and related plasmids. ctRNAs are small, highly structured, antisense sequences which are involved in negative regulation. Lineage: Bacteria; Pseudomonadati; Pseudomonadota; Alphaproteobacteria; Hyphomicrobiales; Rhizobiaceae. The record is from Rfam by way of RNAcentral.